GUUGUACUUCCUCCGUUCUGGAAUACUCAUCGCGGAAAUGGAUGUAUCUAGAUGUAUUUUAGUUCUAGAUACAUUCAUUUCUGCGACGAGUAAUUUGGAACGGAGGGAGUAGCUG
This is a non-coding RNA of Triticum urartu, 115 nucleotides long. The record is from Rfam. Lineage: Eukaryota; Viridiplantae; Streptophyta; Magnoliopsida; Poales; Poaceae.